GUCACGGCGACAGUAAAUAACUCAUGGAUGCCCGUCGUCACGGCGGCAGUAAAUGACUCCUGGAUGCCCGUCGUCAUGGCGACAGUACCUAAAUGACUCCUGGUCCAGUUUUUUUCAUUGUUUGUUUUCUGCUUCUCUGCGUUUCUUUGUGGAUUUUGUUUGUCUAUUUUUUGGCCCUGGGCUUAGACUGUGUGUGUGCGUGUGUAUGUGUGUGUGUGUUUGUGUGUCUGCGUGCAUGUGUGUGUGUGCAUGUGUGUGCGUGCGUGUGUGUGUGAGAACACAUAGCUUAUGACAGGCCAGUGGUCUUCAGCCCAUUUCCAAAGCAGAUCAGUGAUGAGUUCAUUUAUCUUCACUCAAACACAAUGAUGAUGAUGAUGAUGAUGAUGAUGAUGAUGAUGAUGAUGAUGAUGAGUUCAUUUAUCGUCUGGGCGGAGUCAAACAUAGCCCACUCAAACACAAUGAUGAUGAUGAUGAUGUUCGAAAGCAACACUUUCUGUAUAUUUUUUAAAUAUAAAUACUUAUUUUUUAAUAUCGGGGAAUCAUUUCAAUUAGGUGUGCUAGAUGCACAGUGACCUAGGUGUGUGUGUGUGUGUGUUUCUGUACUAGAUGCACAGAUGUCAUUUAAAAAGGUUCUGUGACCAUGUGUCUGUGUGUGUGUGAGAGUGUGAGAGUGUGUGUGUGAGUGUGUGAGUGUGUGUGUGUGUGUGUGAGAGAGAGAGAGACUGUGUGUGUGUGUGUGUGUGUGUGUGAGAGUGUGUGUGUGUGUGUGUGUGAGAGUGUGUGAGUGUGUGUGUGUGUUUGUGUGUGUGAGAGAGUGUGUUUGUGAGAGAGUGUGUGUGUGUGUGUGUGUGUGUGUGAAAGAGUGUGUGUGUGUGUGUGUGUGUGUGUGUGUGUGUGUGUGUGUCCCUACCCAUCACAUGGCUCCAUCCUCUGGGUCUCUCCUCAGCUGUGUUAACACAAUAUAUUAUAUUUGUAUGUUUUUUUAUUUUUUUAUUUAUUUUUCUAUUCUUGCCUUUUGAGUGGCAGUCUCUGGUGUUCCCGUGUGUGUUCCUCUCUCUGCGGAGUGUACCGGUGUGUGUUCCCCCACCCAGCCGUGAGGCUCUCUCUCGCCCAGGCCGGGAAGAGCGUUGUGGGGCACCUCUUGGGCACCUCUUGGGCACCUCUGGGGCACCUCUGGGGCAACUCUGGGGCAACUCUGGGGCAACUCUUGGGCACCUCUUGGGCAACUCUGGGGCACCUCUGCCUUCCUGCCCGAUGGGUGUCAGACUGGCCUCCUCUGGCGUUAAGCUAUUCCUGAAGGUCAGAGCGUGAGCGCGUAGGCACUUCCUGCUCCUCCUCUACUCCCUCCUCCUCCAUUUUAGGGUCACAGAGCUCCUAGGUGGUUUGCUAGCUGCUGGCGUUCCUGUGGUCCCUAGAGCUUCUGGAUCCAUCCCAUAAUAACCCAACGGGUCAGCGACACAUCAGCAGCCCCGUGCCCAGCCCACCUCAGCACACAGCCAGCAGGAUGUUAGCAGCUCAGCGCUGGGGCUAACUCAGUGCUAACUCAGCGCUGGGGCUAACUCAGUGCUAACUUAGCGCUGGGGCUAACUCAGUGCUAACUCAGUGCUAACUCAUUCAUAACUUAGCGCUGGGGCUAACUCAGUGCUAACUCAGUGCUAACUCAGUGCUAACUCAUUCAUAACUUAGCGCUGGGGCUAACUCAGUGCUAACUCAGUGCUAACUCAGUGCUAACUCAGUGCAAACUCAUUCAUAACUUAGCGCCGGGGCUAACUCAGUGUGUGCUGACUGCUGAGGUGAGGGGUGUGUUUUGGCACUCCCAGCAGCCUUGGAGCUCAGAGGGGUGUGUGUGAGGUGAGGGGUGUGUCUGAGGUGAGGUGUGGGUGGAGCUCAGAGGGGUGUGUGUGAGGUGUGGGUGGAGCUCAGAGGGGUGUGUCUGAGGUGAGGGGUGUGUCUGAGGUGUGGGUGGAGCUCAGAGGGGUGUGUCUGAGGUAAGGGGUGUGUCUGAGGUGUGGCGUAGGAUGUCCAAACACCUCCCCCUCCCUUUCUCUCUCUAUCUAUCUGCUCCUCUUCUGGCUCAGAUCUGGCUGGUAUCUGGCUGGGAUCUGCUCCACUGUCAGGGAUCUUUCCGGAGGUUUCCCAGCGGAGCAGUCCAAAGCCUUCAGCACAGAGUCACAGAGUGUGUGUGUGUGUGUGUGUGUGUGUGUGUGUGUGUGUGUGGGAUCUUUCCGGAUGGUUCCCAGCGGAGCAGUCCAAAGCCUUCAGCACAGAGUCAACCCUGUGAUGCUAAUGUGGACAUAGAAACCUUUCACCUUUCACCUUUCACCUUUCACCUUUAACCUUUCCGUGAAUGUUUCUCAUAUCCUUGUUUCUGUCUUUGUUUCCUGACGUGGUACUUGUAAAAUACCGCAAGUAAAAGUAAAGAAAUGCCUGCUUUUUUAAUAUUAAUAUAUGUACACACACACACGCACACACACGCACACAGUACAAGACAUUCUCUGCUUUUUUUAUAUUAAUAUAUGUAUGUACAAGACAUUCUCUGCUUCAUCUAGCCUUCUCUCAAGUGCGCCAUUGUACUUCUCCUCCUCUCCUCUACUCUCCUCUUCUUCUCCUCUCCUCUACUCUCCUUCUCCUCUCCUCCUCUCCUCCAGUGCACUUUCCUCCUCUCCUCCUCUCCUCUCUCCUCCUCUCCUCCAGUGCACUUUCCUCCUCUCCUUCUCUCCUCCUCUCCUUCUCUCCUCUUCUCCUCCUCUUCUCUUCUUCUCCAGUGCACUCUCCUCUUCUCCUCCUCUUCUCUUCUUCUCCAGUGCACUCUCCUCUUCUCCUCCUCUCCUCUCCUCUUGUCUCUUGUCUGUCGUUCUUCUCCUCAUUCCUUCUUCACUCAUUCCAACUGUUGACAGAAUGUUCCAGAUAAAAAUGUUAUCUUUUUAAUGUACAUAUGUUUUGUAUAUGCUUUUGCAAGUGCAUCAAAUCUGUUUUUUUUUCACAUUCAAAACUGUCAUACGUGCCUGUUCUGCAAUAAAGCCUUAUUUUC
Clupea harengus (Atlantic herring) is the source of this 3031-nucleotide long non-coding RNA. The record is from Ensembl. NCBI's taxonomy places the organism in Eukaryota, Metazoa, Chordata, Actinopteri, Clupeiformes, Clupeidae.